This 1098-nucleotide unclassified non-coding RNA is filed under the name Zea mays. RNAcentral describes it as "misc RNA Zm00001eb397380". The record is from RNAcentral. Lineage: Eukaryota; Viridiplantae; Streptophyta; Magnoliopsida; Poales; Poaceae.
GUCGUCGGAAAGGAAAUUAAAAUUCAGUCACCUGAAUUUUUAGCAAAUCCCUUGCACGAAACUGCUGCAAGGACAAGCUGGAAGUGCGAAUGGUCGAUAUAAUAAUGGUAAUGGAGCGGCUUAUAUGAGGUGAACGUUGAACUGGAGUAGAGUCUCGACGCCGUCUGUGGUGUGCUCGUCGCCAGGAUGCAGCGUCUGGAUGGCGGCGAAGCCCUUGGCGUUCUCGUACUUGCCGGUGCCUCCGAUGACGGCGAUGUGGGACUCCGGCGCCGCCAUGCGGUGGACCCCGAAGAAGCUGAGCGUGUCGCCGCCAUGCGGUGCCUCGGGGCCCUCGAACAUGGCGGUAAGCACGAUGGUCUUGCUGGUGCCGUCCUGCGAGCUGGCGACGUAGAAGCCCUGCGCCCUACCGACGACCCCCGCGCCGAGCUCGUGCCCCUCGGUGAGCUCGUCGUCGAUGACCGUGGUCGUGCCGAAGAGGAGGUUCUGGAGCGUGGCGCCGGACGGCAGGUCGCCGGCGUUGACGAAGGGGAUGUUCUUGUUGCCUCCGUUGGCGGGGUUGCCGUUGUUCUGGACGACGGCGGAGGACGUGCCGCCGAGGCCCGCGACGUAGGGCGCGUUGUUGCCGUUGAUGAGGCUGCUGGCGCCUUGCGGAAGCGGCACCGCCCCCUGGAUCGGGAAGAUGUUGGUGUUGGGGCGCGCGAACGGGAGCUGCCCGUUGGCUGCCGCGCUCGCCACCACGCCGGUCACGAUGCGCCCCGACGGCUGCGAGCCGCCGAGGAUGUCGUGCAUGAAGAACGUCAGCGGGUGGUCGCUGGCGGCUCCUGCGUUGCCCGUCGCGGCGGCACCCGCACCCGCACCCGCUGGCGCCACGGCUGGGUCUGUCGGGGGAUCCGUCGGGGCGGGCAGGGGGUCAGCCGGCAGGGGAGCCGCAGCCUGUUCGUCGUCGAGGAAACGACCAGCGAAUGCGCAGUUCGCCACAGCAAGAGCGAGCACCAGGCACAGCACCGCCCUGACGGUUUGCACCGCGUUCUUGGCCAUGUCUCGCAAGGCACCAAGGCGCGUAGCGUAGGUGGAGAAGAGCGAGGACUGUGGGGCUUG